This 486-nucleotide ribosomal RNA is filed under the name uncultured bacterium. RNAcentral's name for it is "SSU rRNA". It matches the Rfam family "Bacterial small subunit ribosomal RNA", at positions 26 to 523 of the family's 1533-position model. The record is from RNAcentral.
AGGAUAAACGCUGGCGGCGUGCCUAACACAUGCAAGUCGAACGCGCUUACUAUCCGCGAGGAGGGUGAGCGAGUGGCGGACGGGUGAGGAACACGUGGGUGACCUACCUUUCAGUGAGGGAUACCGGCGAGAAAUUGCCGACAAGACCGCAUACGCUUCUCUUUUCAAGGGGAGAAGGAAAGCUUUUCGCAAGAGAGGCGCUGGGAGAUGGGCCUGCGGCCGAUUAGCUAGCUGGUGGGGUAAUGGCCUACCAGGGCGACGAUCGGUAGCUGGUCUGAGAGGACGAUCAGCCACACUGGGAUUGAGAACGGCCCAGACUCCUACGGGGGGCAGCAGUGAGGAAUUUUCGGCAAUGGGGGCAACCCUGACCGAGCAACGCCGCGUGCAGGACGACGGCCUUCGGGUUGUAACUGCUUUCUCUGGGACGAGCAAGGACGGUACCAGAGGAAGAAGCCCCGGCUAACUACGUGCCAGUAGCCGCGGUAA